RNAcentral lists this ribosomal RNA (940 nucleotides) under uncultured bacterium. Its description in RNAcentral is "bacterial SSU rRNA". It matches the Rfam family "Bacterial small subunit ribosomal RNA", at positions 28 to 965 of the family's 1533-position model. The record is from RNAcentral.
GACGAACGCUGGCGGCGUGCUUAACACAUGCAAGUCGCGCGAGAAAGUUACCUUCGGGUAACGAGUAAAGCGGCGGACGGGUGAGUAACGCGUGGGUUAUCUACCUCUAAGUUUGGGAUAACUUCUCGAAAGAGAAGCUAAUACCGAAUAAUCUUCUUUGAAGCAAAGGUGGCUUUGCUAUCGCUUAGAGAUGAGCCCGCGUCCCAUUAGCUAGUUGGUGAGAUAACAGCUCACCAAGGCAACAAUGGGUAGCCGACCUGAGAGGGUGAUCGGCCACACUGGGACUGAGACACGGCCCAGACUCCUACGGGAGGCUGCAGUGGGGAAUCUUCCGCAAUGGACGAAAGUCUGACGGAGCAACGCCGCGUGAGUGAUGAAGGCCUUCGGGUCGUAAAGCUCUGUCCUUAGGGAAGAAUAGUUUAGUUGCUAAUAUCAGCUAGAUUUGACGGUACCUUUGGAGGAAGCCCUGGCUAACUACGUGCCAGCAGCCGCGGUAAUACGUAGAGGGCUAGCGUUGUCCGGAAUCAUUGGGUGUAAAGGGUACGCAGGCGGUCUAAUAAGUCAAAUGGUGAAAUCCACUGGCUCAACCAGUGAACUGCCUUUGAAACUGUUAGACUUGAGGAUAAGAGAAGAAAGCGGAAUUCCUAGUGUAGUGGUGAAAUACGUAGAUAUUAGGAAGAAUACCGAUGGCGAAAGCAGCUUUCUAACUUACUCCUGACGCUCAGGUACGAAAGCUAGGGUAGCAAACGGGAUUAGAUACCCCGGUAGUCCUAGCCGUAAACGCUGGAUACUAGGUGCUGGAGGUUCGACUCCUUCGGUGCCGCAGUUAACGCAUUAUGUAUCCCACCUGGGGAUUACGACCGCAAGGUUGAAACUCAAAGGAAUUGACGGGGGCCCGCACAAGCGGCGGAGCAUGUGGUUUAAUUCGAAGCAACGCGGA